UCUGCCCUAAAGUUCGGAACAACCUGCCGAAAGGUGAGCUAAUACCGAAUGUGAUCGUUUGCAGGCAUCUGUGAAUGAUCAAAGCUGGGGAUCGUAAGACCUGGCGCUUUAGGAUGGGCCCGCGGCCUAUCAGCUAGUUGGUGAGGUAACGGCUCACCAAGGCUAAGACGGGUAGCCGGUCUGAGAGGACGAUCGGCCACACUGGAACUGAGACACGGUCCAG
Molecule: ribosomal RNA, 223 nt
Filed under: uncultured bacterium
Lineage: Bacteria
Description: partial 16S ribosomal RNA
Rfam family: Bacterial small subunit ribosomal RNA
Source: RNAcentral